GCAGACACAUUCCAGCCAAUCAGCAGCAGACCCUCCCUCCCAGACCCUCCCACUUCCUGGACAGCAUCCAUUUUACAUUCAUUGUGAAGCUGCAUUCUUAGUGAGCUGUCCAGGAGGUGGGAGGGUCUGGGAGGGAGGGUCUGCUGCUGAUUGGCUGGAAUGUGUCUG
This is a non-coding RNA of Pelobates cultripes (western spadefoot toad), 168 nucleotides long. The record is from the annotation of a GenBank genome assembly. Lineage: Eukaryota; Metazoa; Chordata; Amphibia; Anura; Pelobatidae.